GGGUUGGCCCUCUGCCUUGUGCCCCAUGUAUCCUGGGAUAGGCUCCAGGCUCCCACAUGACCCUGUGUAGGAAAAACGGUACGGAAAACGGAUGGGUUGAUAAAGCAGGGCCUUUUUUUGAGGGCGAUUUUAAGAGGUAGCAAAGCAGCGAUUCAGCACAGACACGGAUGGAAAUAACGAGAAGCAAAGCCAUCACGACUGAACAGCGCUGUUAAAAAGCUGUUAAUGUGAUAAAGAGAAAAGCACGAGUGUGGAGGAAAAGGAAGGCGAUAAAACCGAAGAAGAGGAAGGAGAGUUGUCUCGGAAGGCCGUGGUCUUUCCUCCUGGAUCAGUCUUGCGAAGGAAAAGAAUAGCGUCGUGUCGUCUCGGAAGAACAGAUCGAGUUAACAAGCCCUGUUUUUCCUUCGCUCUCUCAAUACGUCGCUUCUCGCCGAACACGCUGGCCGCUUUCAUCUCCGAGCCGGUCUAAAGAUCUCACCUGUCAAAUCUCAGCCGCGAUGAAGUGACAAGCCGCUCAAACCCCCACCAGAGCUGCCCAGAUCUUUCUCAGCUGCAGGACAAUCCUCGGACACGUUUCCGUCCGAGCGACCUGCCGGUUCCGUGCAAAACUGUCACACGAAGCGCGUUUUCAUCCGCUGCUGUUUCGACCGAUAUUAGAAUAUUCCGAGGAUUUACAAGAUGGCAUAAUGUUUUAUCCAUUUAUAGUUACGUUUAAUGGCAUGGAACGUCGCUGAAACAAGUUCACGUAAGUUACAGCAGCUAUAAACAGUCACCCUCUCACCAUCCUCUCUUUAUUCUCUCUCUCUCUCGCUCGCUCUCUCGAGGUUAAUAAAGCACACAGAAAAAGAAACAAAGUGUAAACACCUCUGUCCUGAAGAUGUGGGAAAAGUUACAGCUUUACUGACACUGGAGACUCCUUCCAUACAUGUUAAGUGUAUUCAUGUGCUUGAGUGAUGCUGCAGGCUGGGAGUGUUGAAUAGAGGGUUGUCAAUCAAGCAUGUCUAUUAGAAUAUUAGGCCACACCCACAUGUGCAGUACUGAGAUUGGUUAUUAGUGAGUUCAGCACUGGCUGGAGAGUUUUAUUACAGCCCUGUCUUGUUUUGCUGAAUGUUUCAUUCUUGAUAUAAAACAAAAAUAACAUUCAAACGCAUCAUUCCUAUCAUAUUAGAAUCAUCAUGUUUAUCUCUUGUCUCUCUUUUGUGCUGGAAUUUCUUAAUAUACAGUGUGUGUGUGUGUGUGUGUGCGUGUGUGUGUGUGUGUGUGUGUGUGUGUGUGUGUGUG
Ictalurus punctatus (channel catfish) is the source of this 1281-nucleotide long non-coding RNA. NCBI's taxonomy places the organism in Eukaryota, Metazoa, Chordata, Actinopteri, Siluriformes, Ictaluridae. The record is from Ensembl.